CCCGCGCCCCGUAAAACGGGACGGCCCGCCCGAGGACCCCUAAACUCUGUUUUUAGUGGAACUUCUGAGUAAAACAAACAAAUAAAUCAAAACUUUCAACAACGGAUCUCUUGGUUCUGGCAUCGAUGAAGAACGCAGCAAAAUGCGAUAAGUAAUGUGAAUUGCAGAAUUCAGUGAAUCAUCGAAUCUUUGAACGCACAUUGCGCCCGCCAGUAUUCUGGCGGGCAUGCCUGUUCGAGCGUCAUUUCAACCCUCAAGCUCAGCUUGGUGUUGGGACUCGCGGUAACCCGCGUUCCCCAAAUCGAUUGGCGGUCACGUCGAGCUUCCAUAGCGUAGUAAUCAUACACCUCGUUACUGGUAAUCGUCGCGGCCACGCCGUAAAACCCCAACUUCUGAAUGUUGACCUCGGAUCAGGUAGGAAUACCCGCUGAACUUAAGCAUA
Molecule: ribosomal RNA, 442 nt
Filed under: Fusarium equiseti
Lineage: Eukaryota; Fungi; Ascomycota; Sordariomycetes; Hypocreales; Nectriaceae
Description: eukaryotic LSU rRNA
Rfam family: 5.8S ribosomal RNA (bases 91-244)
Source: RNAcentral